Molecule: long non-coding RNA, 1158 nt
Organism: Cyprinus carpio (common carp)
Lineage: Eukaryota; Metazoa; Chordata; Actinopteri; Cypriniformes; Cyprinidae
Source: Ensembl
CUCAUACUGAGGCCGCUGAGUAUGUUGUACAUGUGAUGUGUGAUGCUGAAGAAAUCCAGGACAGUCCCUUCAUGACCUCCAUCAGACCUGAGAGAAAAUACUUCCACCCUGACCAGGUAAAGUAGAAGGACCAGGUGUUUCCCAAACUGGCUGCAUAGUGAACCUUCAAACUGAAUUCACUGUAGAUGCCAGGCAAGCUGGUGAAGGAGAACUUAAAGUGUUGAGGGCAGAAAUAUAAUUCCUCUUGGUGCCGUUAAUCAAGCUGGGUUUAUAUCCUGUGAUAUAGUCCUGCCAUCAGACUUAAGAGAAGGUGAAAUUACAGGUGAGCUGUUGCCUGGAUUCACAUGUUCAUUUUAAUAAUUGUGGCCUCACAUAAUUAUUAUAAUGGUAUUCACAGGUGAGGUGAUAACACCAUCUGGAAAGACAGGACGGCCUGAUGUGAUUGAUAACAAAGACGGUACAGUCAUUCUAAAGUUUGAUCCCUCCACAAAGAAACGAUCUACCAGGUUAGACUGUAUGGAAAACAUUGAAUUGUCUCUCUUCUUUUGAGAGAUAUAUAUAUAUUACAACUUGGCAUAACAAGAAAAGUGUUUUUUUUUUUUUUUUUACUUUUUAUAUAUACGAUCACAUUUCUUUUUAUAUAAUCUGAUCACAUUUCUUCAUAUAACUAAGAAUUUUGGUUGUUUAGGGGGUGAAUUAAAAUAGGAUGUCUUGAUUUUGUUAUUUUGCCUAUUUUAAUGCUUGUUUUGUCAUAUUUUAUAUUAUUUUAAGUCAUAGUUUUCCAAGGUUACUUGGUUGAGAUCCACUUUUUUCAUAUAUUUGUUCUAGAUGUCACUAAAUAUCAGCUUUACCAAUUUACUGAAUAUAUUUGCUCUUCUUAAUUUUGAUUAAUAUUUAUUACAUCAGAACGGUUUAAAUACGAUUCUUUCUCCCUUCUGCAGAACUCCCACUGCAGUGUUAUGCUGAUAGUCUUGCUAACCGCAGCACGAUGGCGUAUGGACGUGGCCUUGUGUAUGGAAUUGCAAAUGAGAUGGCAACAUUCACCAUCUGUCAGGAAGAUUCAGCCUGGAGUGAACUGGACAUCACAGUUGAGGGUCCAUCUGAGGCAGAUGUGCGCUGCUUGGACAGGGAAGAUGGUACUUGUACUGUGAGCUACUU